This 222-nucleotide long non-coding RNA is filed under the name Capsicum annuum. RNAcentral's name for it is "long non-coding RNA (CANN_LNC005116)". Lineage: Eukaryota; Viridiplantae; Streptophyta; Magnoliopsida; Solanales; Solanaceae. The record is from RNAcentral.
GAUUAUUUCACCAGCAGAAGUGUUGAGAGAGGAAAAGUUAGAGUGGCGCUGGUGCAGGUUCACUGGAGGGGAAGAGAAAAACGACGGCUGAGGCUUGCGAGGCAAGUUGGAGAGGCUGAUGGCUCCACCGACGUGAUUCUGUGAUGGCUAUGACAUAAAAGGUGGUGGCUGGAGGAGCUCUCCGAUUGGAUGGUGGCCGGAGAUGGUGGUGUUUGGUCGCUG